Molecule: long non-coding RNA, 554 nt
Organism: Dreissena polymorpha
Lineage: Eukaryota; Metazoa; Mollusca; Bivalvia; Myida; Dreissenidae
Exons: 4
Source: RefSeq, a predicted model, not a curated record
AUGAAGGAUGAUUUGUCAAAGAUAUCUGAAAGUCAAGUGGCAGGAUUGAAAGCAAACGACAUUCACUGGAUUUUGACUGUGCCUGCUAUCUGGAAUGAUUCAGCAAAACAUUUUAUGAGACCAGCCGCCGAACAGGCUGGAUUUGCAUCGGAAAAACUUUCCCUUGCAUUAGAACCAGAGGCAGCCUCUCUUUACUGCAGACACCUGCCCGUGCAGAGAGAAGGGGAAUCAAGUCUUUCGACUUUGCGAGUUGGAACCGAACGAUGAUUUUCAAUUUUGAGGUUAAGGCGAGUGGCGGUGAUUGUGGAGGAACAAAGGUGGAUGCAGAGUUUAUGGACUUUCUGGGAGAGCUUACAGAUAAAUCAGUGAUGCAGAGAUUCAAAGAUCAGAACAUGGAAGAUUAUAUUGAACUUCUUCGGAACUUUGAAAUAAAAAAGAGAGCCGUAGAUACCACAAAGGCUAGUAAACUUGCCAUCACAGUACCAGUAACCUUUUUCGAACGCGUGCAAGACAUAACAGGAAAGUCUAUGAAGGACAUUAUGCAAACAUCAGGA